UACGGAGGAUCCAAGCGUUAUCCGGAAUCAUUGGGUUUAAAGGGUCCGUAGGCGGUUUAGUAAGUCAGUGGUGAAAGCCCAUCGCUCAACGGUGGAACGGCCAUUGAUACUGCUAGACUUGAAUUAUUAGGAAGUAACUAGAAUAUGUAGUGUAGCGGUGAAAUGCUUAGAGAUUACAUGGAAUACCAAUGCGAAGGCAGGUUACUACUAAUGGAUUGACGCUGAUGGACGAAAGCGUGGGUAGCGAACAGG
Molecule: ribosomal RNA, 252 nt
Filed under: uncultured bacterium
Lineage: Bacteria
Description: partial 16S ribosomal RNA
Rfam family: Bacterial small subunit ribosomal RNA
Source: RNAcentral